AUCGCUUCUCGGCCUUUUGGCUAAGAUCAAGUGUAGUAUCCAUUGUUGUUAUUUUAUUCAAGGCAACUGACUCAUAUUCAGUGUCCACGAGGAAGCCAGUUUCACUUAACAGCUGUGUGACUCACUUAAC
RNAcentral lists this small nuclear RNA (130 nucleotides) under Ophiophagus hannah (king cobra). Its description in RNAcentral is "U2 spliceosomal RNA". It matches the Rfam family "U2 spliceosomal RNA". Rfam says of the family: U2 is a small nuclear RNA (snRNA) component of the spliceosome (involved in pre-mRNA splicing). Complementary binding between U2 snRNA (in an area lying towards the 5' end but 3' to hairpin I) and the branchpoint sequence (BPS) of the intron results the bulging out of an unpaired adenosine, on the BPS, which initiates a nucleophilic attack at the intronic 5' splice site, thus starting the first of two transesterification reactions that mediate splicing. The record is from Rfam by way of RNAcentral. Lineage: Eukaryota; Metazoa; Chordata; Lepidosauria; Squamata; Elapidae.